AGUGAACGCUGGCGGUAGGCCUAACACAUGCAAGUCGAACGGCAGCACAGUAAGAGCUUGCUCUUACGGGUGGCGAGUGGCGGACGGGUGAGGAAUACAUCGGAAUCUACUUUUUCGUGGGGGAUAACGUAGGGAAACUUACGCUAAUACCGCAUACGACCUACGGGUGAAAGCAGGGGAUCUUCGGACCUUGCGCGAUUGAAUGAGCCGAUGUCGGAUUAGCUAGUUGGCGGGGUAAAGGCCCACCAAGGCGACGAUCCGUAGCUGGUCUGAGAGGAUGAUCAGCCACACGGGAACUGAGACACGGUCCAGACUCCUACGGGAGGCAGCAGUGGGGAAUAUUGGACAAUGGGCGAAAGCCUGAUCCAGCCAUACCGCGUGGGUGAAGAAGGCCUUCGGGUUGUAAAGCCCUUUUGUUGGGAAAGAAAAGCAGCAGGUUAAUACCCCGCUGUUCCGACGGUACCCAAAGAAUAAGCACCGGCUAACUUCGUG
RNAcentral lists this ribosomal RNA (492 nucleotides) under uncultured bacterium. RNAcentral's name for it is "partial 16S ribosomal RNA". It matches the Rfam family "Bacterial small subunit ribosomal RNA", at positions 29 to 507 of the family's 1533-position model. The record is from RNAcentral.